RNAcentral lists this long non-coding RNA (687 nucleotides) under Gallus gallus (chicken). RNAcentral's name for it is "lncRNA (ENSGALG00010006878.1)". The record is from RNAcentral. Lineage: Eukaryota; Metazoa; Chordata; Aves; Galliformes; Phasianidae.
AGGCUGAAGUUCUCUAGAAGGAGAUGUUUCUACACUUCCUCCCCCAGAAGCUUCACCUGGAUGUUGCUGGAAGUGAAUGAAAUAAUUCUUAUUGACUUAUAUAUUACGAAGCAUGUUGUAGAGCUCCACUCCCUGAGCUAUUCUAUCCUCUUUGCAAAUGUAAAUUAAAUAUGGUACUUCAAAUCCUGAUUUUUCAAACUUUCACUUCAUUGUUUGAAAGUGGCUGGCUCAUAUCUGGAUCAUAUACUCCUUCAUGGGAAGAAUGAAACGUCUGCCCACAAUGGGAUGAAGUUGAAGUGUGAAUGGACAAGAAUACAGUGUGUGUAAGAGGUGUGGCUUGAGCGGCUGCUGAUCCCUUCAAAAAUGUUUUAAAAACAUAUCAGAUAAGUAGACGUACAGACUGGGACUCAAAGGUGACGCUGGCAGCUCUUUUGCUGCAGAUGAAAAUUGCUACAGAGGAAGCAAGAGCGAAGCAGUAUGACUUGGUGCUGCCAGGCAGCGGUGCCUUUCAUGGUGAUCCCAGGCUCUGUCACCGUGCCAUCUCCUUGAGACUUUCUGAGCUGUAAAUUGAUUUAAAAACAAUUGUAAUGACCUGCUUGCAUCAACUCAAUCAAACUUCAUUAUGAAGGUAAUAACAGUAUGUUAGAAACUGUCAUAGAUUUUCUUAAUCACUCCCUUGGACUUCCA